GAUGAACGCUGGCGGCGUGCCUAAUACAUGCAAGUCGAGCGAACGGACGAGAAGCUUGCUUCUCUGAUGUUAGCGGCGGACGGGUGAGUAACACGUGGAUAACCUACCUAUAAGACUGGGAUAACUUCGGGAAACCGGAGCUAAUCCCGGAUGUUAUCUUGAACCGCAUGGUUCAAAAGUGAAAGACGGUCUUGCUGUCACUUAUAGAUGGAUCCGCGCUGCAUUAGCUAGUUGGUAAGGUAACGGCUUACCAAGGCAACGAUGCAUAGCCGACCUGAGAGGGUGAUCGGCCACACGGGAACUGAGACACGGUCCAGACUCCGACGGGAGGCAGCAGUAGGGAAUCUUCCGCAAUGGGCGAAAGCCUGACGGAGCAACGCCGCGUGAGUGAUGAAGGUCUUCGGAUCGUAAAACUCUGUUAUUAGGGAAGAACAUAUGUGUAAGUAACUGUGCACAUCUUGACGGUACCUAAUCAGAAAGCCACGGCUAACUACGUG
Molecule: ribosomal RNA, 497 nt
Filed under: uncultured bacterium
Lineage: Bacteria
Description: partial 16S ribosomal RNA
Rfam family: Bacterial small subunit ribosomal RNA
Source: RNAcentral